Molecule: long non-coding RNA, 520 nt
Organism: Rhopalosiphum padi (bird cherry-oat aphid)
Lineage: Eukaryota; Metazoa; Arthropoda; Insecta; Hemiptera; Aphididae
Exons: 2
Source: RefSeq, a predicted model, not a curated record
UGUGGUUAUCACGCGUCGCUCUGUUAUCACGUUCGCGGACAUGUGCCGCCACCGCCACCGCCGCCGCUGCCUACGCCGCAGGACCACAGGGGCCAGAACUCGUCGUUGGACAUUUUCUUGCGACUUUUCCACAUCCCCGCACGCCCACCAAAGGGGUCGGGGCGGCGCGCACGUCGCACGCACAGACACUCCGCGCGCUCGUGUGACGGUGCUCUUACCCUUUGCACGCCGCCGCCACCGACGCGCCGCUACGAGUACGCGUUAUUAUACGCUAUUCGCGCGCGCACCGCGUACGGUCUUCGACGCGCCCCGUCGUGGCGUAGGUAUUGUCAUUUUCCCGCCGCCCUCUUUUCGUCCACCACCGCGCCGUCUCGGCGCCGUUCCGGGACCGUUCCUAUUGAACUGCUGCCGCGAUGCCGCCGCUGUAUUGCAUCAGCCGCCGCUGGCGUGGUCGGCGUGGACAUGAAAAUGCCGAAAUUCAGAAGCGUGUGACACCCUUUCGACGACAACCAUUGGCAGU